Molecule: long non-coding RNA, 847 nt
Organism: Sapajus apella (tufted capuchin)
Lineage: Eukaryota; Metazoa; Chordata; Mammalia; Primates; Cebidae
Exons: 2
Source: RefSeq, a predicted model, not a curated record
UAAAUAAAAACAGCUAGCUUGCUCUGAAAAAUGCCCACUAUGUAAAGCUGCUUGCCUUUGCUUAUCAGUAACUGCCAGAAUAAGCUUCUGUAAAGUUGCUUGCCCUGCAUCCCCUCACCCUCUUGGUCCUAAAACCAGGAUGUGGUUCUUCAGCUUAAAAACCCUGCUUUCCCCAAGCUCGGGGCCACGGGUUGGAGAGAUGUGAGUCCUCCGUGGCUGCCAGCAAUAAAGACCCUACAAUUUGGCAUACUUUUGUCUUGGUGUUAAUUUUUUAUACUCAAUCUGAUAUUGCAUUUUGGAGGCUCCAGCGAGAUUUUAUUUAUAUUCCUCCAUCACCUAGACAAAAGCCCUUAGAACUUCGCCCGGGCAGCCACUCCUGCCUUGGGGAUCUCUGGGGGAGGCGCCCCCUACUGAUGUUCCAGGGCUCCAGAGUUUGGCCCCGUGACGGACAAGCGACUGCUCAGCCGACAUUCACCCCAAAUUCCUUCAGGGUCCUGGAAACCUCCAGAGCAAGCCAGAGGAGCCCAUACAUGACUGCCAACAGACAAUGAAUGUCCUCCACGCUGCUCAACUGGACCUCACUGACGUCCCCCUGCAGAACCCAGAGGUGGCACUGUAUAUGGACGGCAAUAAUUUCAUGGUCAAUGGAGUCAGGUAUGCCAGGGCAGCUGUAGUCACCCUAGAGCAGGUUAUAUGGGCCCAGGCUCUUCCACAUAAAACCUUGGCCCAAAAGGCAAAACUCAUAGCUCUAACAAAGGCCUUGGACUGGGCGGAGGGAAAAACUGUUAACAUCUACACGUAUAGCCGGUAUGCCUUUGCUAUGGCUCAUGUACAUGGAGCCAUUUAU